Molecule: ribosomal RNA, 676 nt
Filed under: uncultured Thermoplasmata archaeon
Lineage: Archaea; Methanobacteriati; Thermoplasmatota; Thermoplasmata
Description: bacterial SSU rRNA
Rfam family: Archaeal small subunit ribosomal RNA
Source: RNAcentral
CCCUAUGGGGUGCAGCAGGCGCGAAAACUUCACAAUGCGGGAAACCGCGAUGAGGGAACUCCAAGUGCCAUGCCAUUGGUAUGGCUGUUUCCAUGUCUAAAAAACAUGGAGAGUAAGGGCUGGGUAAGACUGGUGCCAGCCGCCGCGGUAAUACCAGCAGCUCAAGUGGUGAUCCUUAUUAUUGGGCCUAAAGCGUCCGUAGCCGGUCUGGUAAAUCCUUGGGUAAAUCGUACAGCUUAACCGUACGACUUCUGGGGAGACUGCUAGACUUGGGACUGGGAGAGGUCGGAGGUACUCCAGGGGUAGGGGUGAAAUCCUGUAAUCCUUGGGGGACCACCAGUGGCGAAGGCGUCCGACUAGAACGGAUCCGACGGUGAGGGACGAAGCCGUGGGGCACAAACCGGAUUAGAUACCCGGGUAGUCCACGGUGUAAACGCUGCGAGCUUGGUGUUGGGGGUCCUACGAGGGCGCCCAGUGCCGGAGAGAAGUUGUUAAGCUCGCCGCCUGGGGAGUACGAUCGCAAGAUUGAAACUUAAAGGAAUUGGCGGGGGAGCACCGCAACGGGUGGAGCGUGCGGUUCAAUUGGAUUCAACGCCGGAAAACUCACCGGAGGCGACUGUUAUAUGAAAGUCAGGCUGAUGACCUUACUCGAUUUUCAGAGAAGAAGUGCAUGGCC